AGUAACGGCGAGUGAAGCGGUAACAGCUCAAAUUUGAAAUCUGGCUCCCUGCGGAGUCCGAGUUGUAAUUUGUAGAAGAUGCUUUGGGUGCACGACCCGGCCUAAGUGCCUUGGAACAGGACGUCGUAGAGGGUGAGAAUCCCGUAUGCGGCCGGCGUCGACGCCCGUGUAAAGCUCUUUCGACGAGUCGAGUUGUUUGGGAAUGCAGCUCAAAAUGGGUGGUAAAUUUCAUCUAAAGCUAAAUAUGGGCCAGAGACCGAUAGCGCACAAGUAGAGUGAUCGAAAGAUGAAAAGCACUUUGGAAAGAGAGUUAAACAGUACGUGAAAUUGUUGAAAGGGAAGCGCUUGCAACCAGACUUGGGCGUCGCUGAUCAUCCAAAGUUCUCUUUGGUGCACUCGACGACGCACAGGCCAGCAUCGGUUGGGGUGGUGGGAGAAAGACUGUAGGAACGUAGCUCUUUUCGGAGAGUGUUAUAGCCUGCGGUGCAAUACCGCCUACCUCGACCGAGGACCGCGCUUCGGCUAGGAUGCUGGCGUAAUGGUUGUAAGCGACCCGUCUUGAAACACGGACCAAGGAGUCUAACAUCUAUGCGAGUGUUUGGGUGCGAAACCCAUGCGCGAAAUGAAAGUGAACGUAGGUGAGAACCCUUUGAGGGGGCAUCAUCGACCGAUCCUGAUGUCUUCGGAUGGAUUUGAGUAAGAGCAUAGCUGUUGGGA
Molecule: ribosomal RNA, 717 nt
Filed under: Phyllactinia sapii
Lineage: Eukaryota; Fungi; Ascomycota; Leotiomycetes; Helotiales; Erysiphaceae
Description: eukaryotic LSU rRNA
Rfam family: Eukaryotic large subunit ribosomal RNA
Source: RNAcentral